This 454-nucleotide ribosomal RNA is filed under the name Haplopharynx rostratus. RNAcentral's name for it is "partial 16S ribosomal RNA". It matches the Rfam family "Archaeal large subunit ribosomal RNA", at positions 1901 to 2679 of the family's 2987-position model. The record is from RNAcentral. Lineage: Eukaryota; Metazoa; Platyhelminthes; Haplopharyngidae.
AAAAACAUUUCCUUUUUUAUAAAAGGUUGUCCCUGCUCAAUUCAUAAAGAAAAUAGCUGCGGUAAUUUGACUGUGCAAAGGUAGCAUAAUUAAUUGCCAUUUUAUUGGUGGCUUGUUUGAAUGGGUUUUUGAAAGAGUUUGAUGUGCUUGGCUAUUAAUAUAAAUUUUUUAAAUUGGGUAAAGAGACCUAAUAAUAUAAUAAAAGACGAGAAGACCCUAAAAGCUUUAUUUGUUUAAAAAUAAAAACAGAUUUUGAUGGGGCAUUAAUUUUUAAUAAUUUUUAUCUUUUUUUAUAAAGUUGGGCAUAGUUACUUUAGGGGUAACAGGGAUAUUUUAGGCGAAGAGUUCUUAUCGGUGCCUAUUUUUUCUACCUCGAUGUUGAAUUAGUUUAUUAUUUGCUUGUAGGAGGUGAUGUUUUUGGCCUGUUCGGCCUUGAAAACUACAUGAUUUGAGU